This 2064-nucleotide long non-coding RNA is filed under the name Triticum aestivum (bread wheat). RNAcentral's name for it is "long non-coding RNA (TAES_LNC003220)". Lineage: Eukaryota; Viridiplantae; Streptophyta; Magnoliopsida; Poales; Poaceae. The record is from RNAcentral.
CCCUCCAUGGACUUCAUCCACCGUGGUAGAUCGACCACAAGCUGCAUCGACAUUGAGCGACAUCGAGCGUUCCUCUUCUUCGUGGGGCGUGCACCUUCUGGGGGUGUAGGCGUGCAGCACCUACUGCUAUGGAGGGCGGAUGGCGGGGUGCUUCUAUCAUCAUCAUCGAGCUCAGAUUCCUGCAUGUAUGGAUCAAGAUGUCAUCCCCUGUUUUAUUUCCUUCUAUUUCUGUUUAUAGAGUACAGCAAGGACACACCCACAUUCAGAAAGCACCAAUUAAACCUUGUGUAGAAAAUAACCAUUAUUGUAGGAGAAUUAUGAAGUAAUUUUUAUUUACAAACUUAUCUAGUAUUCUGAUAACGUAAUGGAACUUUUACCUUUAAUUAACCAAUAUAUAUAGCAGUACGCAUGGUUUAAGCCUUGAGCAUUAGUUCAGUUAUGCGUACAUUCUAUGAAGGUUUAUUGCUCCAAUUUGCCAUAUGGUGGAGAAACCAUAUAGUUGAGUUUGUCCUUAUCAGCUAUAAUAGCAAAAUUAUAUGGUCCUAUUUUAGCUCAAGUAGUCGGUUCUAUUUCAUGUCAAAUAGUAAGUUUUAUAAGCAAAACAAGAAAAGGGUCAGGUAUAGUAUACGAGGUUAGAUGGAAGAUUCUUAGAAUGUAGGCCAUAUUUCGUUUAAAAAAUAAGGCUAUGUUACUGAUAUUUACUUUCAGUUCUUAUCCAUCUGUCGAAGAUAAAUAUUGCGGGUGAGAUCGCCGCCUAAAUAUGAACAGUUCGGAACCUUUGAAGUUGUGCAAAGUUCUUCUGCUAGCAAAAUCUCGAGAUUUGGCAAUUCUCAUCAGUUGUUUCGAUUAUGCUGCCUUAUUCAAUUUUUUCGCCUUUCUGAUAUGAAAUCUCGCACCUCAUUGGCUUUCUUCUGAUACAGAAUGGCAUGUAUUUAUAUGUGUCUUUGAGAAAAAAAUUGCAUCAUCGUUGUUAUAUCAGUAUAUGCCACCAAAGAAAACAUAAGAUGCAGUUAAGAAUUAAAACAGAUAUUUUACAUUUUGUAUUGUGUUCUGUUAUCGAAGACUAAAAGUAUAAAUACCAACUACACUUCACUCAUUCCGUUGCUAACCAAGUAAGCAUCAUUAUAGAAGCUGGCAUGUUCAUUUCAAAAACAGAUAAAAGAGGAAAAGGUGAUACCAGAAGAUACAAGCAUGUAAGCAAUAGUUCUUGUGAUAAUAUUUACCAAUCAACAUUAUGGUUGAUUGCUUAAAUGUAUUUGCUUCUAAUGCAGCUGGAAGUGGGUUCUAAGUGUAUGGCAGAAGCAGCAAUGCAACCAGAAGCAAGGUGGGGUAAUAAACCUUGUACUCACUUAUCACGAUUGCACUUAAAAUGGUCGUUAUCUUCAUGAUAGCUCCAAGCUUUAUUCUAGAAGCAUAGUUUGGUUAGAUACUGUCAGCUUAUGUUGAUUCGGAACCUGAGUGUAGCAUGAUGAAAAAUCGGGAGUAGUAUGCUGAUUUUGCUUGGUAGAAACAUGACUUGUCCUCAUGGCACAAUAAUUGAUUGAUUUAUUCCAAGGCAUUCCUAGUAAAGAGUAUAGCAAAGCUUAAUCACCAAAUUGGCACACUGGCCAUCAAUGUUGAUUAUGAAGGUAGAUUUAUUUCAAUAUGAAAGAACAACCUUGCAUUAAUUGAGGCAUAAUAUGCAGCCUCUGAACUAUGGCAAAGUUCACGGUUUUUAUUUAUGCCUACACUAGAAAAUUACUUUACUGGUUAUACACCAUCAAACCAUAAUACAGUUAUAUCUUGCAGCAAUACUUAUAUCAGUAAUGACAUCACUCGGAAUUAAGUGAUGGCUAUAUGUCUCGUGACAGGUUUGACAAUGACCUCAAGAUCAGCAAUAUGCUCCUGAACUGAUACCUUAUGCAUGAUUCAUAAGUAACAUAUAUUGGUGUUAGCCAACACAGGUGGUCAAUUCUUUGCUCGAUGAACUUCUCGUGGAUACUUUGUUAUUUCUUUACAAUUUCACCCUUCUUGAUGUAAUCAGAUUGGUAUUGUAUAUGAGCCAAAGUUGAAAAUUGUUUUUAG